CAGAGAUGGCCGUUUGAACAGACAGAUGCAGCUUUUCUGUCCAAAUCUCAGUGAGCAUGGCGUCUGGCAUGUCACAUUCAUCGGUGAGAAGUCGAAGGCAUCGCCACAGCUGGGACAGAGAUCUGUCGCCAAGGCAUUCUUCAUAGACAAGCUGUCGAACGUUUUCUCUUCUUGUCUUGGAGACACGUUCCAGUAUUGCUUGUUUAGCUGUAGCAUACUUCUCGUUCGGAGGAGGUGACUUAACCAGGUCAUAAAUUAAGUCGACACGGUCGUGGAGGUGGUUCGUGAGGCAUGUGAAACGGGCAUUGUCAUCAAGUGCACAGACACUGAAAGUUUGCUCGACCAGGUUGAACCAGAAUUCCGGGUGAGCAGGUUCGAAUGCCAGAAGUUUUGGUAGAUUCAACGAACUGGUGCUCGAAGAAUGCGGGCUGCUGCUCACAGACGCUGGAGUAGGCAAGUCAAAGUUAACUCUGCGUCAUGAGGGCGGUAGAGAGGAAGCAGACGUGCCGGCUGUUUUCAUGGUAGCUGGAGGGGAAGCGAAAUCUGUUAGCAGGAAGCCCAGCGUGUAGUGAAGCAGGACCGGUUGUUGUGACGGAAGGUCAAAGUGGUCACGGCAGUUGCUUGACAGGUUAUUAUGCAACUGGUCCUCCACAUCUGCAGCGAAAUUGCCCCUCACAGAAUCACUGAUGAGCUUGGUGGAACGUGACGCGCUCAGAUUACUGCACUGAUGAACACUCGGAGUAACAGGCUGGCGAAUGUCAUUCACAUAGUGUUCAACUGGCGUGGAGUGAUACACAUGUGGAGCUUGCACAUUCAAAAAGGUGUCCUGUUGUGGCACAAUAUGAAAACUAUGCUCCCCACUAUUUACAGUACUUGCAUUAAAGUUCGGUAUCAGUGUGUAGUGGUUUCUUGUACUGCUGUGCGGUGAAAACUGAAGCACUUCAGGGCUAACAAAGCUGGAGUUGGAGACCGCUGGCGUCAUGUUCAAAACCACUGCACCUGACGAGGUCCCUGGGUUCUCGAGGCUAUAGGACUGCGGAAAUUCAUGUUGGGCACUGGCUACAGCUGGUGCGCUUGAAUUUAGUUGCUGUUGCUGGUGAAAACCGGGCGGCAGUGGCGUGUUGUAGAAGGCCAUUGUGUAGUGGACAAAGGUCGAUGCGGAACGUGGAAGCCGGUGUGGUAGUCACUUUGUACUCGGUUUGUCGGAUUAUUCGAACUUCGGGGUCACCACUGAAGGAGAUAUCAAAAUGGUAAGGUAAUGACACAGUUCUCUCUUCUAAUCAUCAAUACUUUUAUUACACGACAAACGUACAGGUUGAAGACUAGGUUGGAACUGAGGUCCCGGAAGUAUACAAAACAAAGCUCAACUCGAAGACAUAGUACACAAAUGAUGUUCUGGCCUAUCGAUCCAUGGAUCGACGCCACAGCAUAAUGCGUCCUCGGCUCGCUACUGAAGUACCGCACACACAUGCGUCAGCAGUGUGCCUGCUCCCCAGAUAAGAUUAUGAAAGUCUCAGCUGGUCUCUUGGUGACUACUGCAGUUUUCUUUUUCACACUGUGCAGCAGUGUUGUUAUUCAACAAUAUGCUUCCAUUUUAGCAAGAUGCAAAUCACAUAAACUGUAUAUGAUCCAAGUGUCCAAACAUUAAUAUGAGAUAUGUUUACUGGUGUGUGUAAACCAGUAAGUGAAGAGUAUGUCAGCCAGUGCUCUCUGGCAGACUUAAAAAGAUCCUUAAGUACAAUUAACCUACCACAACACAAUAUUUAAACAAAUAAACUCCUGCUACAUGUCACAUCUGCAUCACCCCUACAUUACUAGUGUGUGUAAAACCAAGCAUGUUGUCCUAUCAACAGAAUUACUGUGUUUUGGAUAAAAUAAUUUUGGGUAUUGGGCCUCAACAUUGUAACUACUAAAACAGCUAACUUGCCGAUAUUUCAAAUGACUUGCGGCAGUCCUCUUCCGGGUGGUUCACUGCUGUAUACUGGUGAAUGUCUUUCUUUACAUACUGUUAUUUUCAGUUAUCUAGUGGCUACCAAUGUCUCAUAUCUGUGAUGUCAUUGGACAAUUUAAAGAGAUUGUUAUGGCAGUGGCUGUAUGGUACACUAUUGCCUAUGCCGGAAGGCAACUCUAGUAGAGAUGACUGUAUCAGUUUUCUGUUACCUGUGCCACUCUGGUAAUGAUUGGUCAGCAACCCUUGUUGGUGGUUGGAAUGCAAUAGCAAAUCGGCAGCUUGUUUCCAGGGAAUGGUGUUUUCCUGCAGUGAGGUUUUAUGGCUGCAUGGCAGUUCUCUCACGGUUGCUGUCUACACUGCCAAACCCCAGCCAAAUGGUGCCGCUGGCCAGUGAACACACAUGAUCCACUGGGCUGGAAUCGCUGGCAGCCAGACCCCAGGUAAAGAACAGUUCCCAUUACUAACACUUGAGGUACCACACAAGUGGCUGGAUCUUCCUCUGACAGGCAAUGCCCAUCUUCAGAGUAUCUGUCAGAAAACAUCACAGCUGCCAAACGAGUGCAAAUUAUGUAUGACACAUACAGGUUCAUCAACAAACAAGUCGACAUACCACAGAAAAACCUUACUUCAGAAUAUCAUGUCAAAUAUUAUGUACUGUAACACUGGUGCUCAAUUGAAGUGCUAUGCCAUUACAAAAUUAGCUAUCAUAACAUACCACU
RNAcentral lists this long non-coding RNA (2670 nucleotides) under Schistocerca americana (American grasshopper). Its description in RNAcentral is "uncharacterized LOC124556659". Lineage: Eukaryota; Metazoa; Arthropoda; Insecta; Orthoptera; Acrididae. The record is from RNAcentral.